This 479-nucleotide ribosomal RNA is filed under the name uncultured bacterium. RNAcentral's name for it is "partial 16S ribosomal RNA". It matches the Rfam family "Bacterial small subunit ribosomal RNA", at positions 28 to 523 of the family's 1533-position model. The record is from RNAcentral.
GACGAACGCUGGCGGCGUGCCUAACACAUGCAAGUCGAGCGGGGAGUACCUUCGGGUGCUUCUAGCGGCGGACGGGUGAGUAACGCGUGAACAAUCUGGCUCUUAGAGGGGGAUAACACAUUGAAAGAUGUGCUAAUACCGCGUAAGACCACAGUGCCACAUGGCGCAGGGGUCAAAGGAGCAAUCCGCUGAGAGAUGAGUUCGCGUCUGAUUAGCGAGUUGGUGAGGUAAUGGCCCACCAAGGCAACGAUCAGUAGCCGACCUGAGAGGGUGAUCGGCCACACUGGAACUGAGAAACGGUCCAGACUCCUACGGGAGGCAGCAGUGGGGAAUAUUGGGCAAUGGGGGGAAACCCUGACCCAGCAACGCCGCGUGAGGGAAGAAGGCUUUCGGGUCGUAAACCUCUGUCCCAUGUGAAGAGAAGAAGACGGUAGCAUGGGAGGAAGCCCCGGCUAACUACGUGCCAGCCGCCGCAGUAA